CGUUUUUGCGUUUUGUAGAUAUAGGUUUAUUGCAACACACAUGAAAUUGUUUUAGCCGUCGCAGCAUGUGCUGCUGCACCGCCCGGUGUACUAUGCUAUACGAGGGAUUACAACAACACCAAAAAGAACUAACGACAACGCAACUUUGCUGCUAUUUAUAAAACCAAACUGAAGAACAAAAAUAAGAAAGAAAAGAUGUUUUUCUUUUACAUUUCUUUUGUAUCGCUUCUGUAAACUCUUGCAAAACUGCAUCAGAAGUAGUCUAUCAAACGGAUUGUCUGGUCGUUUAAUUGUUUAGUGAUUGAAUAGCGCGCGACAGUUACUUUUUCAAAUUUAACGUUAAGUCUCUCGCGUUUUCUCUCUCUCUGUCUGUCUCUCCGUCUCUCGCUCUCAGUUUUUUCGUUUCUCCUUGUUUUUUUGGCUGUUUAUUGAACGGUUUGUGAUAAAAUAUAUCAAUUAAUUGAAAGAAUCGAUUGAUCGAUCGAAUCGAGUGGCACACAAUUAAAUUCCACGUCUAAGCAACGCGCAGCAGAUUACGGUUUUUCUUUCCGUUUUUUUUUUUUUGUACGGUAUUCAUGCGACGAACGAACAUUUUAAAACGAAUCGAAGUGCAAGGGAAAGAAUUCAAAGAAAUUCUUCUUAAGUGAACUCGUGAAAGAAAAUAUUUUAAUAAAAUAUCAAAUUGUUUGAAAUUGAAAAGUUUCUCAAGUGCUCAAGAAUUCGUGUUACAUAAUUUUCAAAAAAAAAAAAAAAAAAAAAAAAA
Glossina fuscipes is the source of this 763-nucleotide long non-coding RNA. RefSeq lists it as uncharacterized. NCBI's taxonomy places the organism in Eukaryota, Metazoa, Arthropoda, Insecta, Diptera, Glossinidae. The transcript is spliced from 2 exons. The record is from RefSeq and is a predicted model, not a curated record.